GACAAAGGAGCUAUAAGAGUUGUCCCUCCCGAGGAAAUGCACAGCGGAUUUUAUUCAAGGUAUUUCCUUGUGCCAAAGAAAGGGGGGAGGGGGAUGAGAGCCAUUCUGGAUCUCCGUGCCCUGAACCGGCAUUUAAGGACAUACAAGUUCAGGAUGUUGACGCACGCCUCGCUGCUAUGGUUUGUACAAGCGGGCGACUGGUUCACAUCAAUUGACCUGAGGGAUGCUUAUUUCCACAUCCCCAUAUAUCCCCCACACCGAAAGUAUCUAAGAUUUGCUUUCCAGGGGAUAGCAUACGAGUUUGUAGUCCUGCCUUUUGGUCUCUCACUGAGCCCAAGGGUGUUUGUAAAAUGCACCGAGGCAGCAGUGGCCCCGCUCAGAAAAAAGGGCAUUCGGGUGGCCACAUACAUCGACGACUGGCUGGUGGCAGCCCCAACCCGCCAGGAAGCGGCUUGUCACACGAAUGCUCUCAUACACCACCUAGAGAGUUUGGGUUUCCAGAUAAACAUGGAAAAGAGCACAUUGAAGCCAACUCAGUGCAUUACUUUCAUAGGGCUCAGCCUAGACUCCCUCCGGGUGAGAGCUUUUCUGUCCCCAGAGAGAACAGCGACCAUGCUGUCAUCCCUAGCACUGUUUCGCAGAGGCAACACAGUGACCCUCAAACAGUGCCAGAGGCUGCUAGGUCUGAUGGCUUCUUCUCUAGUGGCGAUAACACUGGGACGCCUGCACAUGAGAGGCUUUCAGCGCUGGGUGGGGUCGCGGGGACUAGACCCUCACCGAGACGGCCACCGUCGCAUGAGAGUCUCGGCAGACUGUUCACUCGCUCUCCGCGAGUGGAAGAAGCCAGGUUUCUUGUCUCAGGGCGUUGCCAUGGGGGCGGUUUCAGCCAGGAAGGUGGUCUCCACAGAUGCCUCUCUUUCGGGCUGGGGGGCCACCCACGAAGGCAGAACAGUGAAUGGGGAAUGGGGCCCUCACAUGCGCUCCACCCACAUAAACUGUCUGGAACUGCUGGCAGUUCACCUGUCGCUAAAACAUUUUCUCCCUUUGGCUGAGAGGUCAUCAUGUUUUAGUGAGGUCGGACAAUUCCACUGUUGUGGCCUACAUCAACAGACAGGGGGGUCUGGGGUCCCACAAGUUACACACACUGGCACACAGACUGAUAGUCUGGAGCAGUGUCCACCUGCUGUCGCUGAGGGCAACUCACGUGCCGGGAAUCUUGAACUUUGGAGCAGAUCUUCUCUCCAGGGGCAACCCACUGUACGGAGACUGGAAGCUUCACCCAGAGGUGGUGAAGCAGAUCUGGCUGCGAUUCGGUCAGGCGACCGUAGACAUUUAUGCAUCCAGGGAGAAUGCUCAGUGUCCCCUGUUUUACUCGCUGCACGAUCAGAGAGCUCCACUCGGGGUGGAUGCUCUAGCUCACGAGUGGCCAAGAACCCUCCUCUAUGCUUUUCCCCCAGUGGCCCUCAUUUCUCCAACUCUGGCCAGAGUGAGAGAGAGAGGUCACUAUAUGAUCCUGAUAGCCCCGCACUGGCCAGGGAAGCACUGGCUGGCGGAGAUUUUUCAGUUGCUGUGCGGCCCACCUUGGCCAUUACCACUACGCAGAGACCUCCUGUCUCAGGCAUGGGGGGAAAUAUUCCACCCCCACCCAGAGAGGCUAGCUCUACGGGCUUGGCCCGUGAGUGGUUUAACCUGAACACAGUGGGGCUCCCUCAUAGUGUUAUCGACACUAUUCAGAGUUCUAGAGCAUCGUCUACUAGGACGCUAUAUGAGCACAAGUGGCGUGUGUUUGAAAGCUGGUGCUUAGAAUCACAGGCCAUCCCUUUUCAGUGCUCUGUGGCUGUGAUUUUGUCAUUUCUUCAGGCCCUGAUUGAUGAAGGUAAAGCCUUCUCCACCAUCAAGGUGUAUUUGGCAGCAAUUUCAGCCUGCCAUAUUGGUUUUGAGGGAAAGACUGUUGGUCAGCAUCCCCUAAUAUGCCGUUUCAUGAAGGGUGCACGGCGUAAAUUGCCUACAUCUAGGCCACUGGCUCCAUCAUGGGACCUUCCCACAGUAUUAGCUGCGCUCUCCUGUGGCCCAUUUGAACCCCUGGAACAGGUUGAGUUAAAAUUUCUGUCCUUGAAGACAGCUCUAUUAAUUGCUUUAGCUUCAGCUAAGCGUGUAGGAGAGAUCCACGCUCUCUCAGUGCAUCAGUCAUGCAUUCAGUUCUCCUCAGAUAAUACGAGGGUCAGUAUGCGGCUCAACCCUGCCUUCAUCCCAAAGGUUGUUGGCACAUGUUCCCCUAUAGAACUGCCGGCCUUUUACCCACCGCCUUUCUCCUCAGAGGAGCAACAGCGGCUGCAUACCUUGUAUCCAGUCCGUGCUCUGCGCAUUUAUAUGGACAGAACCCAGAGUGUCAGACAAAGUGACCAGCUGUUCGUGUCCUGGGCUAAACCACACAUGGGAAAGCCUGUGUCUAAACAGCGCCUCUCCCAUUGGAUAGUAGGAGCAAUUGCCCUGGCCUAUACUAGCAGGGGCCUUCAGCCUCCUGCUGGCUUGCGUGCGCAUUCCACUAGAGGUCUGGCAACCUCAUGGGCUCUUUUUAGGGGAGUUUCUAUUCAGGAGGUGUGUGCGGCUGCAUGCUGGGCCUCACCUCACACAUUUGCUAGGUUUUACAGGUUGGAUGUAACAGCACCUAACCUGGCGCAUUCAGUCCUCAGUGCAGGUUCUUCCCAGGUGGGAGCCUCUCCCCUGUGAAGUGCUGUUGGGGACAGUUGUCUUCUUAACAGGCAUGUCUGGCAAUCCGGGAGUCAGUAUUUCUCCCAUAGUGAGACACGAAACGAAUGCUAUGAAAGAGAACUUAAGGUUAUGUAUAUAACCCCGGUUCUCUGAGUAGCAUGAGUGAGUGUCUCACCAGACCGCCCUCCUUGCUAUGGAAGCGAGGAAGAGGUGGGCUUGUUUUGAAUGACAUCUGACGCUAUGUCAGCCUAUUAUAUAGGGAGGUGCUAGCCCCUCCUGACAUGGGCGUCACUUAGCCAGCCUGUAAGGGUUGGCGAAAUGGUAUUUGAGCUUCUGAUGAGGUCACGCAGGAGGCGUUCCCAUAGUGAGACACUCACUCAUGCUACUCAGAGAACCGGGGUUAUAUACAUAACCUUAAGAUUUUAAACGUCAGCAUGCCAGCUGGACCGCUGGUGACCUGACCGAACGUGUGGCGACUGGGUGGAGGUGGGGGCGCAGCCUGGAGACACAGCUGCAGGGCCUCUCCCUCUUCUUUUUCUCCUCGCACCAUCUUUGCAUCUUGGCAACGGCGGUCCCGAAAAGGCCAGCGGGGUCGAUGCUUUCAUCCAGAAUGUCACGUUUUUCUCUGUCCGAAAGCCCUGACAAGUUCAGCCAUUUUGCCCUCUCCUGGAGGUCGAUGAUGCUGAGAGCUCUGCCCGCUGCUUGUACUGUUGCUCUAGUGAGGUGGAGAUACUGGUAACGACGCCCAGCUCGUCCCACAGCUCACUAACAUCGGGUUUCGCAGCAGUCUGGUCCUGAAGCUCCGCUGAGUAGGCUAACAGGAGCGAUGAGGCAUUCAAUGCCCUCACGGUGGUGGCAACUGAUUUACGCCCUGUCAGCCAGGGAGGACUGCAGGCAUUUCGCCUUGGAGGGCAGGAAUGGACCAGAUGACAUGGAAAGUUUCUGGUUUGGGUGGAGAUGAGAAGCCACCAGAUUCUCCACUGUGGGAAUUUGGUAGAUGCCCUUCUCCUUCAUUCCAGCGCAGUCAAAUCCCGCCGCUCCCUGGGUGACGAAAAAGGCUUCCCAGCAUCACAGAGUAUGAUCUGCUCUCCAGGUAAGAGGCAAACCAUUUUAGAGCAAAGCCUUGAAUGCCGAUACAUCUUUAGACUGUUUAAUAGGAUUGUGUGGUCGACAGUGUCAAAUGCUGCACUCAGGUCUAAAAGAAUUAAAACUGUACUUUUAGUCAGCAGAGACUUGAACAGACUUGCUUGCUGAUCCGUGGGUUCAUCAGUGACUGUGUGUACUUUUCUCGAUCUACACAUUCUGGCAAAGUGAUUGAUUUUCUCACAGUUUUGCACUGUUUGCCAUAAGCAGGGCAUUGGCGUGAUGCAUGCACAGUUCCUCAUUAUUUGCAAUUAAACGUGUUUGCUUUGUCUUUUUUGUUCAGUUUCAUUUUCCUUUUUCCAUCUUUUUGCGUGUCUGCUUACGUUUCACUGCAUCUACACGUUUACUUUCAUUGUGCGUUGUGAUCCUCCUCAUGCAUUUGCUUAAUUUGAGCUUUAGUAGUUUCCACUGCAAUGCAAAUUUGAGUUGCUUUUUGAGAGUAAUAUCAACUUCUCUUAACACCCUCUCUCUCAUUGUAUCAGAUGUAAUUCUACACACUACUUGACCUCUGAUGAGGGAUUCUUGCAAUUGUCCAAAUUCGCAUGAUUUGACCCUUACCGUAGCGCUGUGACAUACUGGCUAAUCGACAUAUUCCCUUGCACACACGUAAAAAACUUGUACCUUUCAAAGGUUAUGUUCUUUUUUGGGUUACAGUAUUCCUCAAAUUUCUCCGUUAUUUUCAUCAUCUUAUGCUUGUUACGGCUGUGGCCAUAAGAACUCUGUGUGGGCUGUUUUGUUCUGUGUCUCUUUACUGUGCUUAAGACUCUUUGCAGGUCCCUCCCCUAAUGAAGAGUAGUGAGCAGCUGAUUGGACCAUGGAACACGUGACUGCAUUCAAAAAGCCGCUCUGACAGCUGCCACGAGAGAGAGAGAGAGAGAGAGAGAGAAGCGAGCGAGCAGUCUGACAGCAGACGCGGACCUGGCCCUGGUUUCCAACUUAUACUUUUCUGUGUAUUUGUGUGAGCGUGCUCUGUGAGAGCCGCCACUGGUGUUCCAACUUAGGGCUUAGGCACGCAUAGGCUGAAGCGGAAGGGGUGAGCCGCCUUUUUCUUUUGAACAGUUUUCUCCUGUUUUCGGAGCUAGGGAGCGAGGGUUAGUAUUGUAAUUUGUUUGUUUUGUUUCUUUCUUAGGGUUUAGUUAGUUUUCUCUGGCGGGUCUUAGUUGGUUUUGUUUAUUAUUUUGGCCUGGGUUCACCCUGGAGCUAUGCUUCCUGACCUUCAAUAAAAUCACCUUUGUUUUACUCACAACCGGUUUCGGAUGUUUGGCUUGGGAAUCAGGGCGGGUACUUGUCUCUCUCUCCUCCAACCUUAUGUGCGUCUCAACACGUCUAGACUAGGGGCGUAACAAUGCUCAUCACCAUUUCAUUCAAACGUGAAGGUAUUGUACACUUCAAAUGCCUUCUCCCCAGCUACUUGAAGAAAUAGUGAAGAGGGUACCUUGGGUGGCUUGCAAUACCUCCAGUAGCUGCAAGAUACAGCUCAAACCUUUGUCAAAACUUUCUCCAGUUUUCUGAGAGGUUCCCCUGCAGUAAAUCAAGUCAAGCUGGUGGUUUGGGACACUCUUGUUUAGCCUUAUUAUUUUAUUUUUGAAACCAUGUUUCUACAUCACAUGUAGUGCUUUGUAAUACAUAUUUUACCCUUAACUGAACUUUUCUGGAAUUCAGAUUUGAGCAUUUGCCUUUCCCCGCCUAUAUUUACCACAUUCUAAUAUUACAUGUUCAAAUGUCUCCUCUUGUCCACAAAAUUCACAAUUCCCUGUCUCAUGCUUAUUCAUCCUUUUUUAGUUUGUUAUUUAAACCUGUAUGACCAAGUCUUACUCUCGAAAUUAAAUCUCCUUCUCUUCAAUGACAUUGUCCAAUUACUUUCUGUAUAGUAUAAUAAUAUCUACCUUUUCCUUCUCUGUCCCAUUGUGCCUGCCGCUUUUCCUUUAACGUCACCUUAAUUAUAUACUUCAGGAUCAGGAGUGGGUGUGCAGGAUUGAUCAGAACUAAUUUCUUAGAGCCAAUGGUCAAGAAUGCUUACAAAAGUUCCUGGAUUCAGAUCUGCAUUACUUCAAAGUUCAUCCAAGCCCAAAUUCUGAUUUUAAAAAAUAUAAACUACAGGAUAAAAACGGAAGACUUCACAUAACCUGUUUGGCAGAGUUAAUCGCCUCGUGAAUGUAUGGAACGCCAGAGAGACAUCAACCCUGACACUGGAUUCGGCAAUUCAGGCAUCCAGCAGCUUCAUGCAGAGCACUGUGUCCAGGCUGGGUGACUCUAAUGCCAGCAAGGUGGUGAG
This is an RNA transcript of Oreochromis niloticus (Nile tilapia), 6130 nucleotides long. It is a transcript of the gene named filamin-B-like, with no coding region annotated. NCBI's taxonomy places the organism in Eukaryota, Metazoa, Chordata, Actinopteri, Cichliformes, Cichlidae. The transcript has 2 exons. The record is from RefSeq and is a predicted model, not a curated record.